CCAGCACCUGUGCCCUGUGGUGAGGAAACCCAGGACCUGGGAGGAGCAGUGGCUUGUCUGAAGUUGGGGCCCAGUGCAGGCCCAGGCUGCGGACCCCUUCCUCCCUGUGCGGCAGUCACGGGCUCCCUCCCCUGUAUCUGCUCUGAGGGCUGGGCUGAGCAGCUGUGCUCCGGCCUGGGUCCACAGGGAGGGCCAGAGUGCCGGGAAGCCUGUGCUCUGAGCUGGCUUCCUAGGAGGCCAGAGCUGCAGGAGCCCUGGGGGCCUGGUGGUGCCCAGCCAGAGGAAGGAACACGUGGCUGCUGCACGUGUGAAGUGGGAACUCAGAGCUGUUUGCCGGCUGUAUCACAGGACCAAGAAGUGAAAACCAGAACAAAGAGACAAGAGCCAUUCCUCAGGAUGGAAUUACCUACGUAGCCCUGGGGUUUGAUCUUGCCAAGACAAUUUGGAGUCUGUUACACUGUUGCAACACAUCAACUACCAACAAGAAAAUGAGACUCCGGAGUGAAGUAUUUGCCUGAAGGCAUGCAGCUGGUAAGAGCGGAGCCAGAACUCACGUAGAGAGCCUCUGACCAUGCUUGAAGUCCCUCAACUGCUCCCUCAGUUACUACGUCUAUAUAAAAAAUGGUAUAAAAGAGACAUAUAUUAGGCUCACAGAUUCUGUGGGUCCGGAACUGGCCAGGACAUAGCUCCACCAUAUCUGGGACCUCAUCUAGAGGACUUGAAAGAGGAGUCAUCUCAGGACUCAACCACUCACGUGUCUGGGGCCCGAUGCUGGCUUUCUGCUGAGACCUCAGCUGGGACUGUCAGGCCAAGCAACCUACAUGUAGCCUCUCCAUAGAGCUGGGAGUUCCUCGCAAUAUAGCAACCAAGGUCCAAGGGCAAGCAUCUUGAGAGAGUCAGGUAGAAGCCAUAUUGCCUUUUAUGAUCUAGCCUCAGAAAUCACACAACAUUAUUUCAACCACAUUCUAGUUGUCAAGGUAGUAACAAGAUCCUCCUGCCCAGGUUCAAAGACAGAAAGAGUAGACUUGCUUUUCCUCUUGGUGGGGAGUAGCAGGGCUCUGGCGGAGCACGUAGGAUUCGAGAUAUUGUAGUGGGCAUUUUCAGAAAAUGCAAUCAACCACACCCUACUUUUUUAUUAGCUUAUUUAUCUUCUUGGUCUUCUAUUGGAAUGAUUGAUGCUUGUUAAAAUUAUUCGCUUCUUCUGCCUACAGUUUUGGAAGGUAUACAUUCUUUUUGACUUUUUAAAGUGUGUCCCCUUGAAUUUUGGCAACAUAAAAUGUUUUAUAUGCAACAUGAAAAUCCAAAUGUAAUUGGUGUCUCUG
Molecule: long non-coding RNA, 1322 nt
Organism: Manis pentadactyla (Chinese pangolin)
Lineage: Eukaryota; Metazoa; Chordata; Mammalia; Pholidota; Manidae
Exons: 4
Source: RefSeq, a predicted model, not a curated record